Molecule: non-coding RNA, 30 nt
Filed under: Mus musculus (house mouse)
Lineage: Eukaryota; Metazoa; Chordata; Mammalia; Rodentia; Muridae
Source: RNAcentral
GCAAUGCUAACACCAUGUUGUCUGGAUCAC